RNAcentral lists this long non-coding RNA (1810 nucleotides) under Marmota monax (woodchuck). The record is from RNAcentral. Lineage: Eukaryota; Metazoa; Chordata; Mammalia; Rodentia; Sciuridae.
UGCUCCUCAGUCCGGCCUUGAAAGGGCCGCUUCGACGGCGUGGGGGCUCCACAGGAAGGCGUGGUCUUGGAGAGGACGCUGCCUUUCCAAGAUGCGCAGAUGUCCAUCGUCUUUCCUGUCACCGGCAACGGAGGCCUUGCCCUCCCAGCUCGUCCAAGACCUCAGUGCGAGAGGAAGAAUUAAUGAUUGCCCUAAAGGGCAUCUUCCUGCUUACCCUGCACUCCAUGGCUCUCCUCCCGGCGCUUUUAGGAACGCGGAGGGGGCUUCUCCACGAAUAAGGGAUUGGUGUUACCCGCACAUUCUACGUUUAUCCAGAUAUUUGCCCAUGAAUGUACAUUGCAGCGUGGUUUUUAAUAGGAAACGACCUAAAUGUCCCUCAGAAUGGGAUAGUAAUAGAAAACAAUAUAGCCUUUAUGAAUUACUAAAGAGUUAUUAAAAGAAGUAGAUCUGUAAUGGUAAGAAACACCAACAGCAGGCAGUUGCAAAAUAAUGCAUAUUUAUGGUUGCAUUUGUAUUUUAAGUUAUAUAAACAUGCAUAUAUUUUAGCAAAUUCAUGGGGAGAGAUAUCACACUAAAGAGGACAGCAACUCCGAAAAAGUAUGUGUUGGUGAGUAGAAAGUUUUAAAGUUUUGUUGUGUAUACUUAAGUUUCUACGAAUCUUUAGCAAGGAGAAUUUAUUAAGGUUUUUUGGUGAGUUUUUUGUUUUGUUUGUUUUGUGUGUGUGUGUGUAACGUCAAGUACCAAAAUAAAUAAUCAAUGUCCAGUGCUCUCCUCCCCACCCCCACCUUACUGGCCAUUGAACUGAGGGGCACUCUAUCACUGAGCUACAUCCCCAGUCCUUUUUAUUUUUUAUUUUAAGACAAGGUCUUACCCAGGAGUUGUCCAGGCUAGCCUCAGACUUACCAUCUUCUGCCUCAGCUUCCCAAGUAGCUGGUGUUGCAGGCAUGCACCACAGUACCCAGGUAGAAUUUCUCUUGAAAAGCUUUGUUCUAGAUAUUAUUGUUUGGAUAUGGUUUGAAUGCCAUCCUCCAAGUUUUCAUGUGUUGAAGUUUGAUCCCCACUGUGAGGUAUUAAGAAGGUGGAAAUGGAGCUGGGGUUGUAGCUCAGUGGUUGAACGCUUGCCUCCAAUGCGUGAGGAACUGGGUUCUAUCCUCAGCACCACAUAAAAUAUAAAUAAAUGAAUAAAUAAAACAAAGAUAUUUAAAAAAAAAAAGAAUGUGGAAAUGUGUGUGGCUGGGAUUAUAGCUCAGUGGUAGAGCCAGCAGGAGGUCUCCAACACCGUUGAAAUGUCAAGGUGGAAAUUUAUACAAUAAUAGUAUUGAGAGGUAGAGCCUUUGUGAGUUGAUUUAGAUAUAAGGUUAUUAGAUAUUAUUGUUGUUUGGAUAUGGUUUGAAUGCUAUCUUCCAAGUUUUCAUGUGUUGAAGUUUGAUCCCCAUUGUGAGGUAUUAAGAAGGUGGAAAUGGGGCCGGGGUUGUAGCUCAGAGGGAGAGAAUUCGGGAGAAAUGAACAUACCUGUCCCUUAAUCUCUUUCUGUGUGAUAACCCUGAACCACCUUGGGAUUCUGUCAGCAAGCAGACCAUUACCACAUGCACACUUAGGCCAGAAUUCUGACCCAAAAUAAACCUCUUUGUUAAAAAAUACAGCCCCAGGUAUUUUGUUGCAGUAAUGAAAAACAAAUACAGAGACCACAGAUUUGCAGUGGAUCAAAUAUUUACCGAGUGCCAACUCUACUUAAUCGUAAAAAUAAUAAAAUAGACAAAAAUGAUUGACCCAUGCUCCUUUGGUUCUUGCUUGUGGUAUUAGUGCUUAG